AGCUUGGGGUGUUUAGCUCAGGUGAAGCCUGCCCGGUGAGAUUUUAACGGCCGCGGUACUUUGACCGUGCUAAGGUAGCGUAAUAAUUUGUCUUUUAAUUGGAGUCAGGUAUGAAAGGCUUUAUGGGGGAAGUCUGUUUCUAAAAAGUUUCAUAUAAAUUACUGUAGAGGUGAAAAAGCCUUUUUGUUUACGGAGGACGAGAAGACCCUUUGAAUUUUUAUUUUACCAGUUUAUUUGGUUAAUAUUUUAGUUGGGGCGGCUAGAAUACAGAGGCUAUUAUUGCCUUUGACAAAUUUUUUGUUUAUUGCCACAUGAAAAUUUUUUUGAGAGUGAAUAAAUUACCAUAGGGAUAACAGCAUUAUUCUUUAAGAGUUUGUGACCUCGAUGUUGGACUAGGAAAGAAGAUAGUUAGAAGCUAUUUUUAGUUGGUUCUGUUCGAACUUUGAUUCCUACAU
RNAcentral lists this ribosomal RNA (455 nucleotides) under Rhodope cf. veranii ZSM Mol 20100300. RNAcentral describes it as "partial 16S ribosomal RNA". It matches the Rfam family "Bacterial large subunit ribosomal RNA", at positions 1817 to 2601 of the family's 2925-position model. Lineage: Eukaryota; Metazoa; Mollusca; Gastropoda; Rhodopidae. The record is from RNAcentral.